GGUACAUGAACAAGAAUGUCUAUCAAAAGCCACAGAUUUGGAGUUUCCAUCGUGGCUCAGCAGAAACAAACCCGACUAGGAACCAUGAGGUUGCGGGUUCGAUCCCUGGCCUUGCUCAGUGGGUUAAGGAUCCUGCGCAGCCAUGAGCUGUGGUAGGUUGCAGACAUGCUGCCAGCCUGCACCACAGCCACAGCCACAUGAGAUCCAAGCCACCUCUGCGACCCACACCGCAGCUCACAGCAACGCCGGAUCCUUAACCCACUGAGCAGCGCCAGGGAUCAAACCCUCAUCCUCAUGGGUACCCGUCGGGUUCGUUAACUCCCCGUUCGCCUUCGCGUUACGAGUUCCGAGAGUCCGGUGUGUGCGCUUCCUCAUCAGGUGUAUGAUUUGCGAGCAUGUUCUCUCGUUUGCGGCUCAGCUUUCCGUUUCCUUAAGGACGUCUUUGAGGUUUUGAUUUUGGUGAGGCGGCAGCGGGUUCUGGGACCCCGUCUAUCGGUGGAUACCGCCUUGGUGUCCAGCAUGGGGCGGAAACGAGGCUCUGUCCCCCACUAGCCCCAAACCCAGAGCGGGUGCCAGCCCUUCUCUGGGCAUCAGGCACCCUGUCUGCGAAAGAGGCUUGGUGCCAGAACCCGCCUCAGAAGACCAGGCAGAGGGAUCCUUACAACGCCCGCCGCCUGGUUACUGCACAAGCAACUCAGCGAUGAUUCGGGCUCUCAGCGAAGUGACCCUCGCUCUCACUUUGCAUCCCUACGGCAGCCCUUGGAGCGGGGGCUCCUCGCCCCCAUUUCAGGGUGAAAAACAGACUCAGAGAAGCUGAGCGACUUGCUGUGGGUGGCUCAUAGAGGCCUCACCCCUGUGGGGGUCCCAGACCUGCUGACCGACGGCUGCUCCCGGAGGCAAAGGGAGGCUUCUCCCCCCACCACAAGCUCAGGACGCUGUCCCCAACUGCCCAGGGUCAUUAAACGAGCUCGAGCCAGGCACCUGCCGGCAGGGACGGCUGGUAUGCAGAGCCCAGGGACGCAUGGCUGCCGCCCCACGCCAAGCCCACGGCUCCGGAGACAAGCCUCUGGGACAUGGCAGGACAGGGUGCGGCCAGAAGGACAUGGGAGAGCCCAGCGUCAGGGAGCAGGCAGCCUCUUCCGGGGUGGGGUUCAGCCCCUGGGCCCCUCCUGACAGGCUCAGCAACUGCAAGGUGAGCCUGAGGCUCUCCAGUGACCCUCUGGGACAGCAGGCCUCCAGCCUGGGGUGUCCGCACCUGUGUCACCCUCCUGCCCGCCCUGCAUCUGGGACCUGUGUUCCUUUUCUUUUCUUUUUUCUCUUUUUAGAGCCACGCUGAUGGCAUAUGGAGGUUCCCAGGCUAGGGGGGAAAUUGGAGCUGCAGCUGCCAGCCUACACCACAGCCACAGCAAUGCCAGAUCCUUAGCCCACUGAGUGAGGCCAGGGAUCCAGUCCUCACCCUCGUGGAUACUAGUCGGGUUCAUUACCACUGCACCAUGACGGGAACUCCCUGUGUUUCUUUUCUGGCUUGGGGAAUUUUCAAACACACGUGCAAAGGGCCUGGCCCACCCAGCCCCAUGCGCCCAUCACCAGGCUCCAGCGACGACCGCUUCAGGCCCCUUCUCAUCUAGUCCCCCGUCCACUGAGCAAAAUCCAGCAUUUUCUUCCUGCGACCCUCGCUUCCAAAAUCCCACAGUGCAAGUGUGGGCAUCCAACAGUUUCCCCAGAAAAACAGGAACCACCUGCCAUCCACGCAGCAUUGGUGGGUCAUGGUGAGGGAGGCCAGCCCUGCCCCUUCCCAGCCACACGUCCUCGGACCAAACCAUUUGACCUCUCUGAGCCCCAGUGUCCUCGUCUUUAAAACGGGAUACCAGUGCCUACUGCCUGGCAAGAGGGCGGUGGAGGUGAACCAAGACUGCAGGCUGUCCGUGGUGCCCAGGUAGGCAGCAGAACAAUCCCAGCAGGCGGGGAGGGCCAGCCCCAACCUCAGGUGGGAAGGUGGGGAGAGAAUGGGAUGGAGAGGUUACAGGCAGAUCUUCAAGUUUCGUAACAAGGUAUUGAGGCAAAAAAGAACUCAAGCAAAUCAAGCAAGUUAUUGGUGUACGUUUUCUUAGGCUCCCGGCUCUUUUGGACAUUCGGACUAGUUCAUAAAUCUAACUGCAACAAAUUACAGCUGCAGUUGGAUCAUAUUUCUCCUUGACACUUAGAAGGAGCCUGGCUCAGCUACCUCUUGCUGUAUAACAAACAUCCCCAAACUUAGAACAGCAGUGGCUUAAAACAACCCCCCUUGUAUAUUUUCUCCCAACUCUGUAUUGCAUGGUGAUUCAGGCAGGUCGUUUGGGGGUAGCUCCUGACACCAGCUGGGCUGCUGUUAGCGUGGGGACUUGCCUGGGCUGGAUGUCGGGCCGGGCUCACCCACAGGGCAUGUGGAGGGUGCUGGGCAUCGGCUGGGAGCUCAGCUGGAGCUCUGCUGAGUGGUCUACACCAGGCUCUCCUGGUGAGCGGCUUGAGCAUCUCUCAGUGUGAUGACGGGGUCCUGAGAGGGAGCCUUGCCGAGAGCACGUGUUCCCAGAGAGAGAAACCGGGACUCCUGAGGCCUCGUUGCACCUCUCUGUUCCGAUAGUCAUGCGGUCUCGGUCUCGAGGCCAUGACUCCAGGAGGAGGGACGAGGAAGCCUCACCUCUCAGCGGGGGAGGGAUGAAGAACCUGAGGUCGGGGUCAGCCGCCACCUCGCUCAGUGAAGGAUGGUUGAUUGUGAAGCUGAAUUUCACAGACGUGCCUCAAAUAGGGAAUCAGCUGCUGGCAAGGCCUGGGGGGUCAUGAAUAUGGAAAGAUCUGCCCCCUCCCCAAGCCCUGGACCGAUUGUGAAGCCCCUCUGGGCCCCAAACCCCCCAGUGCUGCAUAUGACUGGAUAGUCUCUGGGGUGUGCGGCGGUCAUGCGAUGGUGACGGGGGUCUGCUGGGGGCCAGUCUGCAGGGCGCCCGCUCUCCCCACUGCCAUGGCCGUGGGCUCCCAGGCACGGCACUUCAUAGGCGUCCUGAGCUGGGAGAUGGUCUUUGGUCAGCGGUGGCCCUGCUGAGCCCUGGGUCUGCCCUGGUGUCCUUUUAAGCUCAGAAAGCGUCUGCGGCAACCACACCUGCCAGCCCUGCCCCUCGUCUUUGCUUCAGCCGAUCCCCUUGCCCGUAGCCCCGGUGCAGCCCCUUUAUGGCAACAGAAGGGGCACCUGCCUGAACCCCCUCCUCCCCAUUCCGGGCACGGCCCCCCACAGAGGCGCUCCCUCCCUGUCAGCUCCCCCGGGCAGCUCCACGGGCUUGGCAUUUGGGCAGAUGGCUUCCUUUGGGAAUGGGCUGUAGCAUCUGCUGCUUUCCUUGGAAUGCGUCUGGUCCCCUGGUCCCCAGAAACCUUCUGAGGACUCGCAGUUCUUUGCAAGUCCCAUCCAUUCCACCAGCAUGUCUAGAGUGCCUGCCCUGUGCUCUGCCUUGCGCCCCACGCCAAGGGCAGCAUGCCAGCACUGGCACCUGGUCCCCGCCGUCCAGGGUCUCCCUGAUCGAGAGGCACAGACCUUCACCCAUGGCAUCCAUGAACCCAUGGCAGCCUGGCAGCCUGCGGGCCGCCUGGCAAAGGGACACUGGCUUAGAGCUGUGGCCAAGGGGUGGGGGCGGGACAACUCUGGAGGAGGAUCUGGUCCCUUUUCUGUGCUCCUUGGGUGGCACCCAGAACCCAGGCCCCUACAGCGAGCGUUUCCUCCUGAUGGCCACACGCCCCGCCCACCGCACCCCCGCUCCCCUGGGAGGGGCUUACUCCAAGGCCAGCUUCUCAGUCUCCUCUUGUCACCUGUCUAGCUUUUAGCUCCACCCUUUCCAGCCCCUCCCGCUUUACUUUUCCUCCUUAACACUCGGACUCUCACAUCCGUGGGGCAGAAGCUUUGACUCACUGUGUUCUCAGCUGGAACUGUUUCUGGCACAUGCCAGGCGCUCUGUCCGCAAAGGGAUUCUUGUCGAAUUACGCUCAGGAAGUUACUCCCCGGGGCGGGGCUGGGGGACGAUGACUGCUCUCAUUACUGUCUCCUACUUCCUGGAGAUGAGACGGAGACCCAGGCGCUGAGAAGGGAGGCUCUGAGGGACAAGUGUCGGGGCGGACGUCACAGCGCCCCUCCCCCCAGGCGCACACCUGAGGAACCCCCGCCUCCAGCACCUGCCUUUUGCCCAAACUCCAGGAGGGUCUGAACACAGGCAGGUGUGGGGCUGCUGCCCUGGCUUCAGGUCCAGGGGCUGUGGGCUCCAGGCUGCCCCCUCCUCUCCAGUCCCCGCUGUUUGUGGGGGCGGGCAGGCAAGCCCACUGAGCUGGAUUCUCCCCCAGAGCCCAGGGGUCCCCACCACCUGCGUCCUCUACCCACCCCACCCCAAAACCACCUUCCCAGGAGUGGGCACCUCACCUGGCUGCCAGGAAAACCCUCUCCAAGUGGACUCUUUCUCUCUUUAAAAAAAAAUAAAUAAAUAAGUCCCACUUUAUUUUGGAAAUUUUCAACACAUCUGAAAGUAGAGAGAAUAGUAUACUGACCCACCAUGUCCCUGUCACUUCAGCUCAGCAAUUAUCACCGGUUUUCCGUUGCUUUCUUCUCCUUCUACCCCUCCCACCCUCACUCAGCCACUUUUUUAUUUUCCCUGACUCUUUAAAAGCAAACCUCGGCUUCAUACUAAUUCACUCAUAAAUACUUUUCCGUAUGUAUCAGUAACAGAUAAGGGCUUUAGACGUCAAAAUGAUGGAGUUCCUGGUGGCUGAGCAGGUUCAGGACCUGGCAUUGUCCCCGCUGUGGCUCUAGUCGCUG
Molecule: long non-coding RNA, 4825 nt
Filed under: Sus scrofa (pig)
Lineage: Eukaryota; Metazoa; Chordata; Mammalia; Artiodactyla; Suidae
Description: lncRNA (ENSSSCG00040018559.1)
Source: RNAcentral